This is a ribosomal RNA of 849 nucleotides. It matches the Rfam family "Eukaryotic large subunit ribosomal RNA", at positions 65 to 932 of the family's 3401-position model.
CCAACAGGGAUUGCCCUAGUAACGGCGAGUGAAGCGGCAACAGCUCAAAUUUGAAAUCUGGCUCUUUCAGAGUCCGAGUUGUAAUUUGCAGAGGGCGCUUUGGCUUUGGCAGCGGUCCAAGUUCCUUGGAACAGGACGUCACAGAGGGUGAGAAUCCCGUACGUGGUCGCUAGCUAUUGCCGUGUAAAGCCCCUUCGACGAGUCGAGUUGUUUGGGAAUGCAGCUCUAAAUGGGAGGUAAAUUUCUUCUAAAGCUAAAUAUUGGCCAGAGACCGAUAGCGCACAAGUAGAGUGAUCGAAAGAUGAAAAGCACUUUGGAAAGAGAGUCAAACAGCACGUGAAAUUGUUGAAAGGGAAGCGCUUGCAGCCAGACUUGCUUGCAGUUGCUCAUCCGGGCUUUUGCCCGGUGCACUCUUCUGCAGGCAGGCCAGCAUCAGUUUGGGCGGUGGGAUAAAGGUCUCUGUCACGUACCUCUCUUCGGGGAGGCCUUAUAGGGGAGACGACAUACCACCAGCCUGGACUGAGGUCCGCGCAUCUGCUAGGAUGCUGGCGUAAUGGCUGUAAGCGGCCCGUCUUGAAACACGGACCAAGGAGUCUAACAUCUAUGCGAGUGUUUGGGUGUCAAGCCCGAGCGCGUAAUGAAAGUGAACGGAGGUGGGAACCCGCAAGGGCGCACCAUCGACCGAUCCUGAAGUUUACGGAAGGAUUUGAGUAAGAGCAUGGCUGUUGGGACCCGAAAGAUGGUGAACUAUGCUUGAAUAGGGUGAAGCCAGAGGAAACUCUGGUGGAGGCUCGCAGCGGUUCUGACGUGCAAAUCGAUCGUCAAAUUUGGGCAUAGGGGCGAAAGACU